Molecule: ribosomal RNA, 119 nt
Filed under: Gouania willdenowi (blunt-snouted clingfish)
Lineage: Eukaryota; Metazoa; Chordata; Actinopteri; Blenniiformes; Gobiesocidae
Source: RNAcentral
GCUUACGGCCAUACCGCUCUGAUCAAGCCCGAUCUCGUCUGAUCUCGGAAGCUAAACAAAGCCGGGCAUGGUUAGUACUUGAAUGGGAGACUGCUUGGGAAUACCGUGUGCUGUAAGUU